Molecule: long non-coding RNA, 441 nt
Organism: Oreochromis niloticus (Nile tilapia)
Lineage: Eukaryota; Metazoa; Chordata; Actinopteri; Cichliformes; Cichlidae
Exons: 4
Source: RefSeq, a predicted model, not a curated record
UCAGCAAUUAUUCUAAUCCCACUAAUUGAAUGUCUUUGGACUGUGGGAAGUGUAUCUGGAGAGAACUGAAGCAGACAUGGAAAGAACAUGCAAAGAUUCAAACCCAGGACUUUCUUACUGUCAGCUUCUGCACCUUAACGACUUCUUGCCGGAGAAGCUCUGCUGUAGCUCAACUUCUUAGAAGUACUCUAGUUCCAGUUUCUGACAUUCAAAGUGCCAAAUCCAUCUGUUAACGCACAUUUAAACAGAACCUCAUCUACCAUUGGUCAUACACAUAGACUUGAGGAAUCCGGGAAUGAAACAAACAGCUCCUGCCUCGCAUUUCCCAUCUGCGAGCCUGGAUUUCCUGGAAUGGGAAACAAAAGAAGAGUGAAGCAUUCAAAUGGUGAAUUAACAGCACUCGGUGAAAUGUCAUAAACUCAUCAGUAUUUGGCAGUUCAU